CUUCUUCAAUUUGCUGCGGGCAUAUGAAGUGGAUAUGCGUAUCUAUUCCACCCGCAGUCACAAUCAUCCCCUCACCCGCAAUGAUUUCAGUACCAGGACCAAUAACGGAAGUAAUACCAGGCUGAAUGUCGGGAUUGCCUGCUUUACCAAUAUUUGAAAUGCGCCCAUUUUUAAUCGAAAUAUCAGCCUUAACGAUUCCCCAAUGGUCAAUGAUCACAGCAUUAGUGAUCACAGUAUCAGCACAGUCUUUUGAUUCGCGUUGACUUUGACCCAUACCAUCACG
RNAcentral lists this small RNA (283 nucleotides) under Polynucleobacter asymbioticus QLW-P1DMWA-1. RNAcentral describes it as "Polynucleobacter necessarius subsp. asymbioticus QLW-P1DMWA-1 5' ureB small RNA". It matches the Rfam family "5' ureB small RNA". The record is from Rfam by way of RNAcentral. Lineage: Bacteria; Pseudomonadati; Pseudomonadota; Betaproteobacteria; Burkholderiales; Burkholderiaceae.